This 500-nucleotide ribosomal RNA is filed under the name uncultured bacterium. RNAcentral's name for it is "partial 16S ribosomal RNA". It matches the Rfam family "Bacterial small subunit ribosomal RNA", at positions 30 to 523 of the family's 1533-position model. The record is from RNAcentral.
AUUGAACGCUGGCGGAAUGCUUCACACAUGCAAGUCGAACGGCAGCACGGGGGCAACCCUGGUGGCGAGUGGCGAACGGGUGAGUAAUAUAUCGGAACGUGCCCAGUCGUGGGGGAUAACAUAGCGAAAGUUACGCUAAUACCGCAUACGAUCUACGGAUGAAAGCGGGGGAUCGCAAGACCUCGCGCGAUUGGAGCGGCCGAUAUCAGAUUAGGUAGUUGGUGAGGUAAAGGCUCACCAAGCCAACGAUCUGUAGCUGGUCUGAGAGGACGACCAGCCACACUGGGACUGAGACACGGCCCAGACUCCUACGGGAGGCAGCAGUGGGGAAUUUUGGACAAUGGGCGCAAGCCUGAUCCAGCCAUUCCGCGUGCAGGACGAAGGCCUUCGGGUUGUAAACUGCUUUUGUACGGAACGAAAAAGCCUUGGCUAAUACCCAGGGUCCAUGACGGUACCGUAAGAAUAAGCACCGGCUAACUACGUGCCAGCCGCCGCCGUAA